RNAcentral lists this ribosomal RNA (404 nucleotides) under Actinomycetes bacterium. RNAcentral describes it as "Actinobacteria bacterium partial 16S ribosomal RNA". It matches the Rfam family "Bacterial small subunit ribosomal RNA", at positions 355 to 776 of the family's 1533-position model. Lineage: Bacteria; Bacillati; Actinomycetota; Actinomycetes. The record is from RNAcentral.
UGGGGAAUAUUGGACAAUGGGCGCAAGCCUGAUCCAGCCAUGCCGCGUGAGUGAUGAAGGCCCUAGGGUUGUAAAGCUCUUUCACCGGUGAAGAUAAUGACGGUAACCGGAGAAGAAGCCCCGGCUAACUUCGUGCCAGCAGCCGCGGUAAUACGAAGGGGGCUAGCGUUGUUCGGAUUUACUGGGCGUAAAGCGCACGUAGGCGGACUAUUAAGUCAGGGGUGAAAUCCCGGGGCUCAACCCCGGAACUGCCUUUGAUACUGGUAGUCGUGAGUUCGAGAGAGGUGAGUGGAAUUCCGAGUGUAGAGGUGAAAUUCGUAGAUAUUCGGAGAAACACCAGUGGCGAAGGCGGCUCACUGGCUAGAUACUGACGCUGAGGUGCGAAAGCGUGGGGAGCAAACAGG